UCUUUGUGCUAUUUUAAUUGUUCAUUUAUAAAUUAGAUAGUUCACAAUAGUCUUCUAAGUACACCAGAAACUACCUUCUUGAAACUACCAAAAAGCAAAAGCACCUAAGGUGGACAAUAGGUACUACAGAAAGAAAUACACUAAGGUAAACAAGAAAUAUCAAAAUGCCAACAACUCAAACUGUUUGCUCAUGUAAGAUACAUAUUAAUUAUGGCAACUAAAAGACAUUUAGUAAUACAUGUAAUGUUGGUGAUGAGUUCCAUGGCAUCUGAAGUCCCACAACUUCUCAAUUUGCUCAUCAUGAAUAUAUCUUCUUUUUCCCUGCAAUAAAUAUGGCUGUUUUGUUUGAAUAUUAUUUAUUGGAAUAGCUGUUGGAGCAUGAGUUACAAGUUGUAAUUAUUUGGCUCUCUGAACUACCAUUCAUUUGGCAAGUCUUUAUUAUGUGUGAUUUUAUUGCAAUCUUUAUGUGUUUUGGAAUCACAAGGUAAAUACACUUUGUUUAAUCCAUUCAGCAGCUGCACUCAACUAAUGGAAAGUGUUUUAUAUAAGAUGCCAUUGAGUUUGGGAUAGUUACAUGAACUCUGUUUUCAUUGAAUAACUGAAUAGUGCUGCUUUGUCUGAAUUAUAGGUUUGGUAAUUCAUAUGGUAUUGCUGGUAGAAGUGAGAAUAGGAGCAAGGGUAGAAGCUUGGGAGCUUUGGAAAGAUUAUGAAGUCUCUGCUCGGAAGAACAGUUAAGAGCACCAGAUGGUUUGACAUUUUCAUAUGUGGAAUGAGGGGGCUAAGUUUGUCGUCAAUACAUAUAUCUAGGAGAUAUUAGAAUUAUUUUUUGUGUCUUAAUGUGUGGAUGAUUGGGAAAUACAUCCUUUGUAGUACAUUUGAUUGUUUAAUGUAA
This 892-nucleotide long non-coding RNA is filed under the name Rosa chinensis. RNAcentral describes it as "sRNA RchiOBHm_Chr3g0485091". The record is from RNAcentral. Lineage: Eukaryota; Viridiplantae; Streptophyta; Magnoliopsida; Rosales; Rosaceae.